GGGGGUCAAGAUUCAUUUUUUCCAUAUGGACAUCCAACUGACCCAGGACCAUUUAUUGAAGACUGUUCUUUGCAUACUGCAUAGCAGUGUGACUCACCUCUGUCAUAAAUCAGAUAUGGAAAACAUGAAUAAAAGAGAUCGACCAUUCCUGACAAUUCAGAAAAAUGAUAGCUCAGAUAAUCUGGUAUUCCAUAUUAAAAAUGGAAUGGGAAGCACCAAGUAUAAACCAGUAGACUAUCAACAACUGCACGCAUUAACUGAAGCAAAAAGAUUAGCUUCUGCUGCUAUAGAGCUUAAGAUCAGAAAAGCGGUGCAGACUUCAAAGACAUCUAAAGAACGAACACUAAUAAAACAACACAAGCAAGUGUGGUGGCAAGAACACCAAAGGCUAAAUGAAGUCAGAUGUAAAAUGGAAUCAGAAAUAAAAUUCUUUCUCACUGAAGAGAACAUUGGAAGUGAAUGUCUUUCUGACCUAAUGAAUUUUGAACAAGAGUUAUCAGAGGAAUGGUGCACAUAUCUUAAAAAUGUGAUAGAUCCUGUUCAGCAAUUGAGAGCAGAUCUGAAGUACAGACAGCAUCACAUUUCACAGCAUUCACACUCACAUACUGAGUUUAACUCCGUGAAAGUACUGGAAGAGGUUGACUUCGUUAAGAAACAAUUGAAAGCUGUCUGUGAAAGACUUAGCCUGGAGCAACAGAAAAUAGAAAAUAAUCUUUCAGACUGGAUUAUGAAAAUACUAGAUCAUUCUUCAGAAGACAGGAGUAACCUGCUUAGUGAACUGCCCACGGAAUUAGGAACUUUGGAAUGCCCAUACCCUGAUUUGAAAUCUUCAAUCCUUAAUGAGUUCUAUAAAUUUACAGAGAAAUAUCAACAGAGACUUCAAGAUUUUGAUCUGCAGUUGGAAGACAUAUACAGAAAGUUCCAAUUAAAUGAUGAAGACCACUGGAUUUACCAGGCUGUUUUGGAUCAGUAUCCUGGAGAUCUCUGUGGCAGAAGAACUCUGUAUCUGGACAUGUUACAAAGAUAUUUUCCUCAUAAAUCUAGGCAUUAUUUGGUUGAACAUGAGAAAUACUGUGACCAAUAUCGCUUUGCUAGGGAACAGCGAAGGAUCCUGAUAGCAAGUUGGAGUAAGAAUAGAAGAGACUUUAUACAGAAGGCUGUGCUGACACUUGCCGACGCCUGUGCAGCUCAUGAAAUGGAGAGCACGUUGGCUAAGGACAGGAAAAAGCAACAGGAACUGUGCGCUGAUCUGAAAGCCAAGGUUCUUCAAUGGCGAACUCACCAGGAAGAGGUAGCAAGACUGGAAAUGGAAAUUUCUGCCAGAAGAAGAGAAAAGGAAGAGGAGAAGGAGAAACUGUGGAAGAAGAAGGAAUUGUUGCAAAGAGAGGAGAAGAACAAACAAAUAAGAAAAUACUGGGCUAAGAAAGAAGAGAAGUGGCAAGAAAUGGAAAUGAGAGAUCUUCGGCGUCUAGAAGAACUGAAGAAAUUAAUGGCUGAACAGUCAGUAAAAGACAGAGAAAGUUCUUCGAGAAGGUUAUUCUUACUUGAGGAUCUAACAGCACAGCUAGCCAUUGUUCCUGAGAUGAUAUUUGACUCCUUGGUGCCGUGUUUGAAUUUGCCUGCUGCAACCGUUGCUGAAGAGUAAAGUAAAUAGAGAGAAGAUAUGGAACGCUGAUGCCAGGAAAUACCCAUAAAGGCUGUUCUCAGUGUUCAUCUAUCACUUAAUUUCACCUGUAUUGACUAGUGGGGACACUAGGAGGUGAAGAAAAUCCUGGUGCUGUUACUCUCCACCCUGCGUGUACAGGAACAGACCUCUCCACUCCCCACUCACAAGGAUGGCCUGAUGGAAGUAGUGAACUUCAACCAGCAUCUUAUGUUGAUAAGAGACAUCCUGCUGUGGGGCUUUAGCAGGCUGUGUGCUUGGUGUGUGAGUGCCAAGGACGUGGAAUGAAGUAACAAGAGAACAAAAGGAAAACCACAAGUUCUAGGUAUGUUGUCUGAUUCCACAUCCCCUAUCAUAAAUUUUUAUUAUGAAAUGUAUUAUGUUAACUUAGGGCUUUAAAGAAAUCACCUCGAGACUUUCCAACUUCUCAUUUAGAAGAAAUUCUCAUGGAAGAAGCCUUAUCAUUGUAGACUGCAAAUCUCAUUCAGUAUUUCACCAAUUCCAAUGAUUUGGUUUUGGUUUUGUUUUAUUCACCUUUAACAUCUCUGAAAUUACAAUAAGUGCUGCAAGUCAAGGGUGUCAAAUCUAAUAAAAUGUGGUAAUACAAUUGUCUGCUGGUUGCUUGUGUGAUAGCCUGUUCCGUGUACAUCACCCCAGGGAUGGGAAAGGAGGAUGCCAGAGAGAGGACUGGAGUGGCCUGACAGCAGGUAGAUAAGCAGCCAGCCGGGUGAGUACCAGAGGUCAGUAGUGGAGGAGGAGGAUCAACAGCAGAUGUCAGAGACCAGAGGCAGUACAGUCGACAGAAGGGUGCCAGGCUCAAAGCCAUUCGAGAAUCUCCGCUAAGCAGUGAGGUGCACACAGUCUGAAGAAGCUCUGAAUCAGAAAGAUAACUCAACAGUGGUUAAACACUUGCUGUUUAAAGUGAGAUAAAUCUGGCUUUGCAUCCCAAACCUGUCACUGAUUAAGUAACUUGCUCACUGUUAUGCAUAUAAUCUCUAUGUACCUCAGAUUGUCAUCUCCAAAAUGGGAAAACACAAUACUCUUCAGAGGGUUUUGUGAGGAUAAAAUGGGACUGAAUAUGGUCGAGGACAUUGCACAAAGCCAGGCACCUUCUGAGUGAUCAACUACUCUUUUUCAUAUCACGUAGCAAUUUCCUGGCCCUGCUUUUAAGGUUGCUUAUUGUUUCCGUAUUUGUAGAACUUAGUAUAAAUGAAGCUGGUUCAAAUCCAGUAAGGAAAGGCAGUCGGUGGUGCCUGACUGAUGUGGGCAGCAUUAGGCAGAGGAUCAGAGGCUUGCUGGUGAGGUCCCUCACAGGGUUAAAGAAGAUCUGUCUAAGGAAAUACCUAACUGGGGCUGUAGAGCAGGCGCCUCCAUUCACAAAUGAUCUACCAUGCCUAUUGGGUGGUCUGAUUACAUGAUGCAUUCUGUUUCCAUUUAGCGAUAAUUCUUGUGCCACACUCAUUCUCAAUUAUGGGAUGUAAUUAUCCUUUUAUCCAGGCCCUCUGCUUCUCUUCUACCCUCAUUAUUGUCUUUUCUGUAUCUUCUUAUGAGUUUCUCUGAUGGGGCCUAAAGUUGAUAGUGAACUGCAUUGAGGCUAUAAGGCUGAGUUAGCCAUAAGGCUGAGCAGCAAAGAGGGUAAGACCACGGUCUAAGAUUAGUUCUUAAAUUAUUAUUGAUUACUCGUACAAUUUUUCCCUCUGUUCACAGGGCUAGUUAAGACUUGGCUCAAGAUCUUAGUACAAGGAGGUCUUUUUUUUGUUUUUUGUUUUCUUUUUACAAAACACAGUAGUUUGAAAAUAACCUCAUUGUGUGGUGCCAGUGAAUGUAAAUUACAACUAUUCAGAUUGACCAUAAAACCGAAACAGAUGUUAGAAUAGCUUGCGGUUUGAAUUCUUCUUUGAACUGUAGAUAUUGCUGUAAUCAACAGGAAUUUCUGAAUGUUUCUGGAGACAUAAAGAUGAUAUGCAUAGACAGAAGCAUUUUCAUUCUUGAAUCCUUCCUCCUAAGUCAGACUUACUAAACAUCACCUCUAGACACAAUUUUCAGUCUGGCUGUUUUAAUGAGAAGUGAAAUAUGACUGGAGACCACCAACCAACAUUGACCUUAAGUGACACUUUCUGUGAUUUACAUCCCAAACAAGAUUAUCAUUUGUUCUGUUUUUAUCAAAGAUAGGAAUGUACUAGGAAAGAGACUGAAGUAUUAUGAGAAUAUGAUAAGGAGUUUGCCUAAUGACUGCCAGAAUGAACUCACUUUCAAAUAUGUCUAGUGUCUUAAAAGACUUAACUUUGCCAUGUUGUAUUAAUCAGGUCCUACUGCGGUUUAUGUAUUUUGUAUGUUAGCAAAGAAAUAUAAAUACUUUUAAAAUGCAUACGACAGAGUGUUACAAGGUAAUGCUUUUCCAUGUUACUUGAAAUUUCUAAAGAGAGAUUGGAGAGUACCAGCUAAUGAUUUUAUAAAAGACAUUAUAAAAGACGUAUUUGGAUGCUUAGUUUGAAUUAACCUCUAAAAAUCCUCUACUAUAUUUUUCAAUUGUUUGGUCAUUCCAGUUGGUAUAGCAGGGACUUAUUAGCUGUCCACCAAAGCUGUUUCCCCUUGUUUCUGGAUGCACAACUAAACUCAACUUCCCAACCUCAUCUCCAGUUAGAUGAGACCAUAUUCCUGAGUUCCAGCCACUAGAAUGUGGGCAGAAGUAAUGGAUGCGACUUCCAAUCCUAGCCUAUAGGAAUCUCCCAGUGGUGAUCGUACAAUUGUCUUCUUCCAUCUGCUGGAUGGAUUUUGACACCCAGGGAAACUUUGAAAGCCAGUCCUUAAAGAUGACAGAGCAACAAGAUGGAAGGAGCCUGGGUCCCUGGAUCACCAGCUGAAGGAAAGCCUCUCAUCAGCCAGGAACACCCACUUUGUACUCAAUCUGUGUAAUGUACACUACUGGACUACUACAGUCAGAUUGCCCGGGUUCCACUACCAGUUCAACCAUAUAUAUAUUAAUUGUGCAACCUUGGGUAAGUUAUUUUAUCUUUGUUCUUUAUUUUCCAUCUAUAAAAUGGGAAUGGUGAAGAUAAUAACUACUUUGUAAGAUUGCCCUAAGGCCUAAAUGAGAUAAUAUUUGUAACACCUCUGAUAUGCAGUAAACACAGAAUAACCAGCUCUCACUAUUACGCCUCCCAACAUUGAGAACCUGAAAUGUACUAGCUUUAGUGAGACUGACAAGAAAAAGUAGAGUGUGGCAAAGAAUACCGUGUAUUCACCAAAUCCCUUUUCUUUUUUCUCCUGGGCACAUUGCUAAACUAUAUUCUCAGCUUUCUUUGCAGUAAGGUGAGGUCGUCUGAUCGACUUCUGGCCAAUGGAAUGUGGAUGGGAGUGACACAUCUGCUUCUAGGCCUGGCUCCUAAAAAACAGUAACUCACUCAAAUCUGAUUCUUUCUCCCACGCUCUCUCUCCUUGUCUUUUGGCCAAAUGCAGGAGAUGGUGGAGCCACUAGGUAGAAAGUUCUGGAUCCCUGAAUGGCUGUGUGGCAUAUACUCGCUUCUUUAUGCUAACGACCUGUUUUGGAUUGAGCAAGAAGGCACUGAUAUUUUAAACAGGAGUAGCCUACAUGAUCAUGAGAGGUUCUUAGUUUGGUCAAAGUACUUGGAAAGGAUCUUUCUCCCAUUCGAAGAUUUAAAUGAGAAACAAAUGAAGCAGGAUGAUGGAGUGGAAGCAGAGAGCUGAGUAGGAACCUGGAGAGUCUCAAUUUGGGUAGAAUAGGAGCAAAGAAUGAACGAAUGGGGACAUAGUUUUGGAGAAACAGGAUUGAGAGCUUAUCAAGAAAAGGAACGCUCAAGAAAAGGCAUGAAGGAAAAAAAGUAAGGCUAAAGAGCUUGCAGAAGGGGGGAGGGAUAAAGUGAAAGACCUAAUUUUAGUAAAGACUUACAGACAGCCUUAUGGUCCCAUGGGGAUCCUUCCACAUGCCCUUCCUGCCGUUUUCACUGCUAUCUCUAUUUCUCUGCACAUGUCUUUGCCUCCUUCUCGGCUUUCCAGGAGGUUUUGUGUAUGUCUGUGUCUGACUGCAUGUAUGUAUGUAAUCUAUGGGUCCUAUAGUCUCUUUUAGCUCCAUAGACCAGUGCUUCUCAAAGUUUCGCAUGCAUAAGAAUCACUGGACACUUCAUGGACUCCUCUUCCAGAAAUUCUGAUUCAGCAGGUUGGGUAUGUGUGUGUCAGAAUUUGCAUUUCUAACAAGCUCCUCAUUGGUGCUGAUGUUGCUGGUCCGAAGACCACACUUUGAGUAACACCUCCAUUAAGGACUCCAGCAACUGUGCUGAAUAUACCAUCUCCUUUCCACCCCAGUGGCCACUGUCCAAACCCAGGCCCCCAUCACAGCAAUGAUGGCUGGGCCACCAAUCCUUCCUCACUCUCGGUAAAGUAAUGCAAGUCAUGGAAUGCAAGACAGUGAGCUGACUGCUGCUGUAGGAAUGACCUUAAUUCAAUCUCAUUCAUAUUUAUGAAACACAUCACCCACAGCCUUUGGUUAUUUCAAUAACAAUUAUAUAUUGCUUUAUUAUGAGUGAUAAAUUAUCCACCCCAUGCCACAACAGGUCAAGCCACCUUUGCCAAGAAACAUCUGAGACUUCUUUGCACAACAUUCUUCCCAUUUCCCGCUAACUGCUUCUAAAUAUCUCAACAAAAACCUUGUAUCUUCAUAUAAAUCUAGUGAUCCUUGACUGUUAAAAUCAUCAGAAAGCUUUUUAAAAAGCACGGGCGCCCAGGCCCCAACGAAUUUAGACUCUGAAAGUAUUUUUAAAAUCUUCCCAUAUGAUUGAUGAGCAAAGCUGAGGACCCUCUUUAGGCCUUUGUUCCUGAAACAUCCUUCUCAUUCCCCUCUAUUUUUAUGUUUCAAAAUCCUGCUCAUUCUUCAAGGUCAAAUUCAAAUCUCACUUCUUCCACAAAGGCUUUUCCAAGCAUCUUUCCUCCUUAGUCACUAUGAAUUCCUGCCCAGCACUGUGCUCCUAAAGCAUUUUUUUCACACUAAGCUGAUAGAUAGCAUUUCACAUGUUAAUUUUCUGUCUUUCCAGAAAGAUUGUGAAUUCCCUCAUGCAAGCUGUCUCAUAUAUCUUUUUUUAAUCCCUAAGUCUCAAGAAAUUCUAUUUGUUGAAUUAAAUUUAACUGUUCAGGAAGUGGAACAGAAAUACUAUUAAUUUUCUCCUCAAAAACAUUUAGAGUAAGAGAUUUUUAAUUAGUUAGUGGAUCACGCUGUAUUCAAAAAUAAAACAUUUCAUGAUAUUAGUACACUCUACCACUUCAGAAUAAGACUUUAAGCCUCAGAGCAAAAGGACAUCUCCCUUCUCUUGGGAGAGGUAAGAGGACGUUUAUCCAUGGUCCUGUGUUAGACAAAGUGUCGUCAAGGAACCAGAAGUAUUGGCAGUAUCAUCUGGGAAGCUUGUUAGAAAUGCAAAGUCUCAGGCUCUACUCUGGACCUACUGAAUCAAAAUUUGCAUUUUAACUAACUCUUAUGUGGUUCCUGUGCACAUUAAAGUUGGAGAAAUGCUGCCAUCCACUUUUUCUUCCAACUUCUCUCAUGCUUUCUGUUGUACUCUGCCAAAACUGUCAAUCUCUCACUAUCUGGAGAUUUUCCUUUGGAUUCUCAACUGAAUCCAUGAAUCAUUUCUCUACGAAAGAGUGUCAUUCAUUGACUGCAGUGAUGCUAAACUCUAACUACUUACCAGAAUCACCUGCAGCACUCUAAAAAGUGCUCAUACCUGGACCCCAGCCCUAGAAAUUCUGAUUCAAUUCGUCAAUGAGAUCUGGACCUUGACAUUUUUAAAGUCACUGAUCUACUCCACUUUUCCUAUCUCCAAGAAGAAAUUUUCAAACCAGUAUAACCAUUAACUAUAUUCUCUUCUAUCAAUUAUGGUACUCCUGUUAAUUCAUUAGCAGAUAUUCUUUAGUUUUUCUUGAUGUCUGUCCCAACGUCUCAUGAUUCCUUGGUCAAAAAAUUGGGGGGCAUGUCUGUCAAAGAUUUUUAUCCUAUUAGACUCAUCAAGAAGCACUUCUAAGAUGAUCACUGUAUCAAUGGCCAAAGGAAAGACUAAUUUGAGGUAUCAGGCCAAAUUCAACCCAGCAUGAAUCUGGCAAUUGCAAUACUUCAACCUUUCCAAAAUAUAUAAUUUUUACUAAAUAGACUUGCGUGUAUUCUUUCCUCCUCAGCCUUGUUUUGCAUUUUCUUUUCUUUUCCUAAAACAUGCGUCAAAGGUGGGGUUGGGAAUAAAGUCUUUUAGCAAACCAUGACAAGUUACACAGCAUAGCCAGUGUUAAAUAUUGGUAACCAAAGAAAAGUGCUGGUUGAGAGGAAGGAUUUCCAUUUUACCAUUACCUUCAUCUUCAUAAUUUUUCUUUUUCUCUCUCCUUAGCUUCCCUGAAGAAAUGAUCCUGGUAGGAGGCUACUUCUGCUUAGGAUGGGUAAGUGGAGCAUUUUCUGAAACGCUGACAUAAUGGAGGCUCUAAGCCAGACAUUUCAUACAACUCUCAGUGAAUCAGAAGGAAUUCACAAAAAUUCCUUAAGCCUCAUGAAGAUUAAUGCUCUAUUAUGUUCUGUGAACCUGGGGCAAGAAUUGGAGCUAAAUUUGCAGACAGCUUUGGCAGAUUUAUGUCUACCCCUGAGACGAAUAACAUACACGGUAUUCUAAAAGUGAAUUCUAUGAAAAGUCCAUCACAAAGCAUAUGAGAUCACUUCAUAAUAUGCUGCAACACAGUGAAAUCUCCCUUAGGCACUGGGAGGCCCCUUUAAUUAUUUCUCAGACACAGGCCACGGUCCUGGAAUUAAAGGCUGAACUCCAAGCUGAAUUCCAGGCUGGACUUUGAAUUUGUUCGCUCAUGCAGGUUAGUUAGACUUUUGCAUAUUUCUUGUGACUUCCUUUACCCCAUUUUCUGUUUUUGUUGUUGCGAUGUAAUUGACAUAUUGCCCCACUUUGUUAGUUGAGCCAACCCCUGUCCCCAAGAACCAAGGAAUGAAAAUACCAUUGGAAAGAAAAUUUGUAUUAUUUUUAUUUUGUUUUGUAUUGUGAGCUGCGUUCCAACUAUAUCAUCUCUAAACUUAAGAAAUUUACGUAACUAUAGAGGUCCGUCUUCUGAACAUUUAAUACAAAACCCAAAGAAUAUCCAUCUGAUCAAAACAAACGAAAAAUCAAAAUUACUCCCUCAAUGUAUGUAUUACUGUCAGAUCAUGGCUUUAUUGGAAGCAGUAAAAUCGAAACCAUCUUUUAUACCAUGUGGAUAGUCACUCUUAAGUUGAUGUCAGGAAAGAAAAAAACUGUGAUUUGCUAUUAAAUUAUAGAACGAAUCAUAAUAGUUCAGCUUCCAGUUAGAAUGACACCCUUCCUUAAAACUUGUUUUUUUUUAAAUUGCUAAUGGGAAUUUUCCUUUAGCAUUCUAAACUUCCUUAUCAAUUCAAAAAUAUCCUUCCUGACAUGACAUGUUAUACUACAGCCCAGCUCUCAGACCAACACUUCCCCAAGAAGAUAGGCUGCCUUUGAAGGUGUGGCAUCCUAUCUCCUUGACUAGGUUGGUUAGCUUGUUAACUGUUGACCAGCGUGCCUGUGCCUUACAUCUGGCCUUGGUCCCAGCAUGGGUCUAGGGUAGCACACAGACUUGUCUACUUUCGGACAGCUGUAUAUAGAUGCAAGCCCUCAACUGGUUUCCAUAACAACUCCACCAGGUUGUCUCAAAAAUGUGUCCAGUACACAUGAGAACUUUCGGUGACCAAACAUUUCAUUUUUCCACCCCUUCCUACCCCUCACCAACUUGUUUUCAUUCUUUGUGAUCACAAAUGAGAAAAACAUCAAAGGCAGGACCUCAGAAUGCCCUGUCAUCUGAACUUUGCCCAUUCAAAUUCGCAAAGAAGGUCUGACAAUUAAACAAAACCUAUUUCCCAGGGCUUCACUAAGCUAAACCCCAGGCUGCCUAUAAAAUCCAAUGAACCAGAUGUGGGAGGUCAAACCAGGUAGAAGAAGAAAAUACAGCUUAAGAUUUUCAGAAAACACAGUGUCUCUGUUAAGAAACCCAUGAAUUCACUACUUUUGCGGCUGCUUCUCACAUAACGCUUUGGGGAUGGAAAAUCUAAGAUUUUAGAGAAACUUCAUCCUGUUCCUUUUUGACCUAAGCUUCCACAGCAAUCAGCUGAAGUUCUAUGCUGGUGAGAGUUUCCAGAACAAUAGUCUCAUGACUUUCAAGCAAAUCAGAGCCUAAAAUGCUGAUAAAUGCCCAAACAGCAGCAGAUACAAGGCAUUUCAUAACGUGCAUGGAUUUCUCUUUAAGAAGGUGCAUAGCAGUGAAUCUCAACUGGGAUCUCCAUGUUGGAAGACACUCUUCUUCCUGGUGACAGUCACCCUGGACAAACUGCUUGAAUUCCAUGCUGGCCUCCUUCAGUCCAUCUCAGCCAGCUAGCAAAGAUUACAGAAUGAAAAGGAAAGGAGAUAGGGAACCAACGUAGCAGCCUAAAUCUUGCCACUGCUACCACCCAAUAGACAUUUGUCAUUUUGCCCAAGGUAUCCAAAAAUCCCUGAAAAAACUGAUCUUGGUGAAGAUAAUGACAACUUUGAGGAAAAAUAAGCCUGAACAUGUGUGCUGCUUUUGUAACUGGGGACAGAAGUUAGUGUUGGUAGUCUAUAGUAAUAUCUAAGUCUCUUAUCUCAUAACUCACCUCAAAUUGGUUCUACCUGCUGCUCUUUCCCAACAACCAAUGGCAGUUUUGAGACUCAGCAUGCCCACUUACCACUUUUAGGGACUUCACACUUUUAUUUGGCGUUCCGUGCUGUCUCCCUCAAUUUAUUUUUAGGGUAUAAUGAGGAGGACCACCGAAUUCCAGUCUGGCGUUUACCUCUGGCUCUGACAGGUGGAAGUGUGAGCUAAUUAGGUAAGUGUUAGAUAAUUAAUUACUCCAAUGAAUUAGUUAGACUAAUUAAUAUGUCUGUUUCCAGUGCACAUUCUGUCAGCCAAGGAUCUUGAUCAUGAACAGUGCCAGGAAAUGCCAGAAAUAUUUAUGGCCUCCAUCUAACAACUCCCCAGGACAUUAAGGCAAGUGGUCAUCACUUGGGUGAAGUGUAGAGUAGUCUUGAAGACUCCAUGAAAGUAGAGUAAUAAUUAAUAUCUUCUGGGUAGUCCUAAAUUAUUUCCCCUUGUUUUCAAUCUUUUCAAGACUCGAUCCUACUCUUAUGGUAAGUUGUUCCUCAAUGAUUUUGCUGCUAUUGUUGACUAUAUUGCAAAAGGCAAGUCACCUGAAUGGGAAUGGAAAAAGUUUUUUGUAUUCAGAAAGCCUGCGUGUGGGACUACAGAAAGCAAACUCAGGCCAUCACUGGGCGUUAGGGGAACGAAGGCCAUGUGCCAGGCAGAGCCCCAUGGCUCAGCACAGCCUUGCCAUCAGUAGGGGCUGCCUCAGCUCCGCCAAGUCCAUGCUCCACAGUGUCUGCCUCAGACAGAACAUUUCACUUCCCACUGUCUUCCUGUACCAUGCUAGCAUUUUCAUAUUCUCUCUCCCAUGACAAUUUUCUCUCUGGAUAAUUUUGCCCCUGAACCUCUAAUGGUGGACAAAAGAAAGUAGAGUCCUGAUGCACAACUGGGUGGCAUUUGGGUCUCUCUCCACUUGGCACGCUUUCUGCUGAAUGGGUGAGAUUCACACAUGUUGACUUAGAACCAUACCCUCCCACUAAAACAGUGCUCUUGUCACUCUGGGGAGGGGCGUAGCCAGGAAUGUGAGGCUCCCAGAAUCUUGCUGUAAGAGCUGGGCAUCUGCCUCAUGCCAGACACUGUGCUAAAUUCUGAGAGCACAAAGAGGAUGAGAUGCAUGGUGUCUGCCCUAAAGGGAUCUACACUCCAUGGGGAAGAGAGAUGAGUGGCAAAGAACAGGACAGGUGCUAUAAAUCUCAGAGGAAAGGUCUCAAACUCAGACUAGGGGGUCCAGGGGGCUUCUGGGGGUACGUGAUACCUGGGUUGAGUCUUGAGGAAAGAUGUAGCCCCCAACAUAUUGCUGAGGAUGAGGCUGGGUGAACACGAGAAGUCUGUGCUCCCAGUCCAGGGAACAGUGUGUAAAAUGCACAGAAGGGACAGAAAAAGCAUCACAUUUAGAGAACUACCAGUAGCACUAUGUGGUGUUACUUCCUCAUAUUUGCACCAGAAUGUCUCAAAUGGGGCCUUGGUGGUUUUAGUUUUUGAGAUUGCUGGUGUUUUAAAAAAUAAAGGCCAAAACAGGAUUAUACUAGUAAUAAUAUACUUCAAAUGUUUACAUUUAAUGAAUUGGCAUCUUAACUCUCUUGGUGCUGUUCACAAAGACAUUACAGGGCUUAUUAAAAAAUAUGUCAAUCCAUCACACAUUGUUAGUUUAAUGGAACACAAGUUUAAAGGUAUAUUAUGUUCUUCUCCUUUCAGUACAUUCCGUGAGUUUAUGUAGAUAUGUAUAUAAAGUCUAAUUUUAGACAAAAUGGUCCCCUGGGCCCACUCGGCUGGGCCUGCCUCCCUGAGGUCAUGCCUGGGUGCUCCCUUCCUUCCUCCCAGACCGAGCCCUUCUGCUCUGGACCCAGAGUCUCUGCUCUAGAAUGCCUCUCCAUGAGGUACCCGCCGAAGGUCAUAUCAGUUCACCUAAGGAUGCAGCCGUGAUCACCCCUACCCAGGAAAUAAUCACACACAUACAGAUACACACACACCCCUCCCUAAAACCAGCCUCACAGCCUGUGGGAGAUAGGGGUGGGAUACACAGCAAAGUCUUCGUAUCCACUCCUUCCUUUUUCCCUCUUUCUGUGGCAGGUCUCUCGGAGUGGGGAUGAGGUACCAAAGAGCCCCUACCUUGUGCCACACAAGAUCCCCCCACUCCACUAUUUAGCCCAUAGCACUAUCAAGGGCUUGGAAGAGCUCAAAAAUGUCUUAAGUUAUCCAUUCGGGUGCUAAGCAGUUUAUUUUUUCAUUUAUUCAUGAACAAAUAUUUGCUGAGCAUACACUAUGCUCCAGGAAGUCUAGAAAGUGCCAGCGACACAGGUAUGACUAAGACAUUUCUUGCUUCUCUGAUUUCUUCCACAAAAAUGUUGAACAGAGAAGACACAAGUUACCACAUCUCUCCUACUAACAUUCUAUAUGUUGAAACGCCUGUAUUAAGUGUAUUGUCCUCAUUUAUUCUUCAUGCCCAAUAACUAAAACUUACUGAAUCUUUGGAUCCUUUCCUUAAGUGUUUAUUUUCCAAUACUACAUAGAUCGUAGUUGCCUCAAAUCCUUUUAUGAAGAAGAGGCUAUUAAAAGAUACACAACUGUUUUCUUUUUGGUGCAUCUUACCAUUUUUGCGCAUAGGUGCAAAGAAAAUAUACCUUCUUUCCUACUAGGCAUCCAGUCUUUCACACUCUGCCCAGUGUCCUGAAGGUGGGGUGGAGGGUAGUGAUUUGAAAUUUGCCAGUCAAUAGCAUCUUCAUGCCUUUGGUUUAAAUAGUCUUACUUAGAUGACUUGUUCUCUUUCAGAUACACGCCAUGUCUCCUCCAUUUCCCGUCUCUGCUCACUGCUCCUCUUUGAGAGGACAUCUACCCGAUUGCGAUGAAUGGUGACCAAGGACCUUUCUCUGACCUUCUUGCUCUACUUCUCCUGCCCUCUCACUCAUAACUAGAAGCUGGAUCCAAUUCAACACUAUCUGAAGCAAGUGCUGUCUGCUUGUGAGCAGUCCCUGAAAAGGGAAUUAAAAGACCCGAGGCUGAGGGUCUCCUGAUUGCCUGUGGCUCGCCCAUUCCAGUGACUGGAAGAUUAAAGCCUGUGUUUAUGUUCAGCAUCAGACGAAUGUGCUCCAACUGGGAAGCGAACCACACUGGAAAAUCAGACUUGCAGCUGGACAGGAGCUCUGUAAUAUUCUCCAGAUCACUUUAGAAUCUGAUGAAAUGAAAGCGGAUGACAAUUCUACUACAGACUAAGAUCUUUGAAAUGGUCUUAGAUCCCAAAAGCAUGAGUCAGUGAAGUGCCCGGUGCUUCUGCUUCCUGUAGAGUAGAUGAAAGUCUGACUGCCACAGCCCGUUCUCUGAUGACGAUUUCCCUGCGCCUGUUAUUCACGGUCAUCAUGUGGUUUUCCCAUUGGUUCACCAGCCCCACGCUCAAGCUAAAGUGUGGAUCGCCUGGAAUGGGCUGGAUGAUUGGUUCCCCUUCAAUGACCCUCAGCAUACCUGCUGCGUGCACAUGUGGAGUUCCUGACAAAGAUGUUUAUGAGUGAGAGCACAGGCUGCCAGAGACGCGGGAGGACGACACGACGGACGUGACGAGGACAUAAAAAGCGUCAAAACUCCAAAUUCAAGAAAGAACCACUGCCUUUUGAUCACAGGAACUGAUCCCAGUCAGUUAAUGACGACUCUGAUUGGUAACCACGCUUCCGAAAGCCAGCCAAUCAACAACAGCCACGCCCGAGUACCAGCUUUCCAUGGCAGCAGGUCAGCCAACCCCUGAGCUCUCCCUCUUCUGAGAGGCCGCCUCUCCGAGCGGUGCUCCCCCACACCCCAGAGGAGAGCAGCCGUCUGGUUCUCCAAAAACAUCGUCUUACGAACACAGUUGUCCCUUACUUAGCAAAUAAUGCGUUCCUUUCUUUGUUUCAGAUAGUGAGUAGUGGUCUCUUCCUUGUCCAAGGGAAAGAGCAGAGAGGGAAAAACACGAAAAAGCCAUUGUUAUCCCGUCUGAAAAGGUGAAAAAGAAAUUUUUAUCCAACACGCAUAAUGGAAGCACAAAAAUCCCUAGAAAUAAACACACAUACGAGCGUGUCAACUUCUGCACUAACAAUGUCACAGGGGAAUCUCCAGCAUAUUCAGGAAGCAGGGCUCUGUUGCAACCUCCAUUGCGAGGGAGGGAUAUUCGCUGUCGGAUAAAGUAUAUGUUUAAUUCAUUUUAGAUUGAGUUAAAUUGGCACUUCAGUCGUGAAUACAGCAGGCUAUAUUCUUCUUCUUCAGUGACCCAUUUGCCCAAAGUACCACAGUGAUUAAACACUAAGCAAAUACACACAUAGGUAAGAAAAAAAUAGCACUCAGAUGUUGAAAACCUAAACUUAUCCAGCACAUUAAGCCUAGUGCGGCAAGCAUAUGUGGUAUCUGUUUUUAUUAAUGGAUUUCUAUUUCUGGCUUCUUUCUCCCUUCCUGCUUUGGUAAUGCUAGAUGUAUGUACAGAAAUCUAGAUAUUUAUUCAUAAAUUGGUACUUUCUACUGAUGAGUUGAUACAAACAAUAUAACUAGGGCCAUUAUAAUGUUAAGUGAGUUUUGAACAAAUAUAGUUAGAAAUCCAAUUAUCUUUCCAUAGAAAGCUUUUGUGCAGAAUCAUUGUUAAAUAAGGGAGGGAAGCCAGUGAGAAAGAACAGGAAUUUCUCCUGCCUGCAAAAGGACAUUGGAGAAUUUCAUCCUGCACAUGCAUUAAUUCAUUCAUGAUCCCCCCUCCCCCCAACCCCCAUGCAGUCAGCCCACAAAGAUCUCUUCCGGCUACUGGAAACUUCCCUUUUUUUAGGAUUUGAUCGUUUUUUUUAAAAAAAUUGAAUAUAUUUGACAUAUA
Molecule: non-coding RNA, 15176 nt
Organism: Equus caballus (horse)
Lineage: Eukaryota; Metazoa; Chordata; Mammalia; Perissodactyla; Equidae
Source: RefSeq, a predicted model, not a curated record